GCCUCCCUGCCUGCUGCACAGAGACACACACACAGACACACACAUACACACACAGACAGAGACUUAUAUUGUAAUAAAGAGAACCCCAGACACAGAACCAGAGAGAGAUAAAUACAAAAAAAAAAAGUAAAACCAACAAAAAAAUCAACAAAAAAAAUGUACCUGUUAAUAACUCCAAAGGAGCACCACCCACUCAACCAACCUCCACAAACUGACAGCUCAGCAACUUCUCCGACUGGCCACCCAUCGCUGGAUGUUCCUCCACUUUAUCCACCAUAUAAAACAACUUUUACCAGUAAAUAUCGGUUUAUUCCUGAAAUCAGAAGCCCUAAACAUACCUUUGUUUAUAAGCCUGUGUGGUUCUGAUUGCUGGCAGUUCUGUAGUACAGCAGCCUUAAUCUGAGCAAUUGAGACUGGUCCUACAUUAUCUUCAGACGGCUUGAGGAGGACUUCUGUUCCCAGUUUGGUACUCAAAUACUCCAUCCCACCUUGAGAAGUCACUUACUUUAAAAGCCAGUGAUAGAUUAUUCUCUUUAGCACUAAUGGAAAAUUAUACUGCAAAGCAGCUUUCGUAUAUUCAUAAUUCCCGUGCAAUCCCAAAUUGGAGAAAAGAGCCUAUUAAAGGUAUAUAUUACUCUAGAUAUUUCUUACUGUAAAUAUUGUAAUUUUAUAAUCCUGUGAAUAUUUUAUUAAUUUACAAAUAUUUAACAAAGUUUAAUCUGUGUGAGUUCAGAUUUAUUUAAUGGUGUUCCACUUCUGUGGUUCCUUCUGCAGUCAAUAUUGCACUAUAUUUUAUGUAAGAUUAACUUCAAUAAAAAAAAAGUUAACUGAUUUAAAUGCCUCUUUCUGGGAGAACAAAGUAUAGAGGCAAUUCUCUUCUUUAAAAUGUAACACUUAUGCUCUUCAGUCCCAGUGCUAAAGUAAUUUAAUGAAAUAUUAGUUACAAAUUUUCAAAGCUAACACAGCUAAACAACUGCACUUGGAACUUGUCAUUUUAAAACUUGAGUGUACUUGAAUGUAAAUGGCUUUUAUCAGCCAGUUUUCAGUAAACAAGAAUCUCUGCAAUAUCUAAUGUAUUGAAAAGCUAAACUCUUUAUAAUGAGUAAAGGAACGCUGUAUGAUCAGGGUUAAGUUUUUGUAAAAACAAGCAUUUGCAAAGGCCAAGUUCAAUAAAAAAAAUUUUUUUUUAAAUUCUAGUGAAAAUGUUUUUUGUUUUUUUUUGGCUGUAUGCAUUCCCCCUAGUGUUUGCAUCCCAAAUAUUGCAACUUUGUGGUAAUGUGUGUAUGGCCGAAAGCAACUAGAAAUUGACUAGUUGCAGAACAUGAAAUCUUUUUCAUUGUCCUAAUUAAAGGCUCAAGCCUGUGCCCUUUAAAGUCAGUGGCAGAGCUUUCACAGAAACAGGAUCAGGUCCUGAGUGAUCACUUUCCUCAUCUCCCUCAGCAGUGAUGGGGAAAAUAAAUUAGAUUUUCUAAAAUUCGUUGUUUUAUUAACCUAAGGUUCUCUAAAGACAUUUUCUUUUUUUAAAAUUAAUUUUUAACCUGAUUUUAACCCUUUAACAAUUCGAUUUUAAGAUGUUCAUGUUCUCUGCAGAAUUAUCAAAAGCAAAGUAUUUUUUCCUUUCAGAGGCCAGGGAGGAUUGAUCUCUAAUGUAUUCGCAACAUGACUCUCCUUCAAGGAUCCAAAAUAUCUCAGAGGUUUUUGUGGCAGGUGGUACUUUUGGGUUUACAAGUUAAUCUUUAUUAGAGAUGUGCCAAUAUAUGCUGCUUAUUGUAGUGUUGUUAUAUUUAGGCAUUUUAGCUAACUUACAAAUAUAUACUGUAACAGUAUACUUUGUACAGACUUAAUUUAAAAUUUAUUUAAAGAUUGAAAUAAAGUAGGCAAAAAAUAAAAAAUGUUUAUUUUUCAUUAGACUAAGCAGCUAUCAUUCUUUUGUUUUUAGUGUACUUGGACACCAAACAAUCUCAGAACGAUAAAAUAUUUUAGUUGAUAGGCCACAUUGCAGAAACUCUGUGGAUAUGUGUAUGUAUAUCUGUACUGUAUCUUGAUAACUGUUAACUCUAGAAUGCAAAUAAUGAAAUCAUACUCGUUUUACCAUUCAGAAGAGAAGUGUUUCACAGUUCGACUGUUUUCUCUGUUUUAUGACAAAAAGGCAUUUAUUUUCUGAAAGAUGUUUAUGAAGGGCCUGCCAUCUGGCUUCUCAAGUCAAUUUUUAAAAUUCCAGAGUGGGGGUGAUUACUUGUUUAGCCUUCACUGAUAGACCAAAGUCAGCUUUGACAUCAUAUUGGGGUGCUGCUCAAAUUUAUGUUUUAUGUCCUUUAAGUCAAAAAACAAAACAAGAAAAAAAUCAAGAUGUUAACUUCACUAUAGAACAAAUUCCUCACUGUACAGUAGAAUGGAUAUCUCUAAUCAAUCUGUUGUCAUUAAUAAUAGAUUCUUAUUUUUUUGAAUUACUUAUCUAUUUAAAAGAACAGCAAACAUUGUAUUUGCUAGUAAAUAUAAAAUGU
Molecule: long non-coding RNA, 2504 nt
Filed under: Gopherus evgoodei (Goodes thornscrub tortoise)
Lineage: Eukaryota; Metazoa; Chordata; Testudines; Testudinidae
Description: lncRNA (ENSGEVG00005005466.1)
Source: RNAcentral